GGAGAAAUGGCCGAGUGGUCGAAGGCGCACGCCUGGAAAGUGUGUAUACCGCGUGAAACGGUAUCGUGGGUUCGAAUCCCCCUUUCUCCG
This 90-nucleotide transfer RNA is filed under the name Salinivirgaceae bacterium. RNAcentral describes it as "tRNA-Ser". It matches the Rfam family "tRNA". Rfam says of the family: Transfer RNA (tRNA) molecules are approximately 80 nucleotides in length. Their secondary structure includes four short double-helical elements and three loops (D, anti-codon, and T loops). Further hydrogen bonds mediate the characteristic L-shaped molecular structure. tRNAs have two regions of fundamental functional importance: the anti-codon, which is responsible for specific mRNA codon recognition, and the 3' end, to which the tRNAs corresponding amino acid is attached (by aminoacyl-tRNA synthetases). tRNAs cope with the degeneracy of the genetic code in two manners: having more than one tRNA (with a specific anti-codon) for a particular amino acid; and 'wobble' base-pairing, i.e. permitting non-standard base-pairing at the 3rd anti-codon position. RNAcentral also lists the same sequence under 1 other name. The record is from RNAcentral. Lineage: Bacteria; Pseudomonadati; Bacteroidota; Bacteroidia; Bacteroidales; Salinivirgaceae.